RNAcentral lists this ribosomal RNA (421 nucleotides) under uncultured bacterium. RNAcentral's name for it is "bacterial SSU rRNA". It matches the Rfam family "Bacterial small subunit ribosomal RNA", at positions 355 to 774 of the family's 1533-position model. The record is from RNAcentral.
UGAGGAAUAUUGGGCAAUGCCCGCAAGGGUGACCCAGCAACGCCGCGUGGAGGAUGAAUGUCGUAAGAUUGUAAACUCCUGUUAGAGGGGAAGAAUAGUACCGGUUGGACCGGUAUAUGACUGUACCCUCAGAGAAAGCACCGGCUAACUACGUGCCAGCAGCCGCGGUAAUACGUAGGGGGCAAGCGUUGUCCGGAUUUACUGGGUGUAAAGGGCGCGCAGGCGGGAUAAAAAGUCAGUGGUGAAAUCCUACAGCUUAACUGUAGAACUGCCUUUGAUACUUUUAUUCUUGAGUUCGGGAGAGAGAGACGGAAUUCCAGGUGUAGUGGUGAAAUACGUAGAUAUCUGAAGAACACCAGUUGCGAAGGCGGUCUCUUGGUCCGACACUGACGCUGAGGCGCGAAAGCGUGGGGAGCAAACA